Molecule: ribosomal RNA, 81 nt
Filed under: Humidesulfovibrio sp.
Lineage: Bacteria; Pseudomonadati; Thermodesulfobacteriota; Desulfovibrionia; Desulfovibrionales; Desulfovibrionaceae
Description: partial 23S ribosomal RNA
Rfam family: Bacterial large subunit ribosomal RNA
Source: RNAcentral
CCACCGGGUUGAUAGGCCGGGCGUGUAAGCGCUGUGAAGCGUUUAGCUAACCGGUACUAAUAAGUCGUGCGGCUUUUAGCU